AGGGGUAUAGUAGCAAUACUAGAGACCGGCGCACGGGUGCGUAACGCGUAUGCAAUCUACCUUUUGCAGAGGGAUAGCCCAGAGAAAUUUGGAUUAAUACCUCAUAGUAUAGCAGUUUCGCAUGAAACCACUAUUAAAGUCACAACGGCAAAAGAUGAGCAUGCGUCCCAUUAGCUAGUUGGUAAGGUAACGGCUUACCAAGGCUACGAUGGGUAGGGGUCCUGAGAGGGAGAUCCCCCACACUGGUACCGAGACACGGACCAGACUCCUACGGGAGGCAGCAGUGAGGAAUAUUGGACAAUGGGCGCAAGCCUGAUCCAGCCAUGCCGCGUGCAGGAUGACGGUCCUAUGGACUGUAAACUGCUUUUGUACAGGAAGAAACACUCCCUCGUGAGGGAGCUUGACGGUACUGUAAGAAUAAGGAUCGGCUAACUCCGUGCCAGCAGCCGCGGUAAUACGGAGGAUCCAAGCGUUAUCCGGAAUCAUUGGGUUUAAAGGGUCCGUAGGCGGCUUUAUAAGUCAGUGGUGAAAUCUCCCCGCUCAACGGGGAAACGGCCAUUGAUACUGUAAGGCUUGAAUUAUUAGGAAGUAACUAGAAUAUGUAGUGUAGCGGUGAAAUGCUUAGAGAUUACAUGGAAUACCAAUUGCGAAGGCAGGUUACUACUAAUGGAUUGACGCUGAUGGACGAAAGCGUGGGUAGCGAACAGGAUUAGAUACCCUGGUAGUCCACGCCGUAAACGAUGGAUACUAGCUGUUGGGCGCAAGCUCAGUGGCUAAGCGAAAGUGAUAAGUAUCCCACCUGGGGAGUACGUUCGCAAGAAUGAAACUCAAAGGAAUUGACGGGGGCCCGCACAAGCGGUGGAGCAUGUGGUUUAAUUCGAUGAUACGCGAG
Molecule: ribosomal RNA, 892 nt
Filed under: uncultured Flavobacteriaceae bacterium
Lineage: Bacteria; Pseudomonadati; Bacteroidota; Flavobacteriia; Flavobacteriales; Flavobacteriaceae
Description: bacterial SSU rRNA
Rfam family: Bacterial small subunit ribosomal RNA
Source: RNAcentral